AACAAAACGCUGGCGGCGUGUCUUAAAGCAUGCAAGUUGAGCGGCAAGGAGGAGAGAUCCUCCCUAGAGCGGCGGACUGGUGAGUAACGCGUGGGUAAUCUAUCUUAGGCAUGGGGAUAGUCACUAGAAAUAGUGGGUAAUACCGAAUAAGUUCCAUAAGGGGAGGACUUAUGGAAGAAAGGUGCUACGGCACUGGCCUUAGGUGAGCUCGCGUCCCAUUAGCUAGUUGGUGAGGUAAAGGCCCACCAAGGCGAUGAUGGGUAGCCGGCCUGAGAGGGUGUACGGCCACACUGGGACUGAGAUACGGCCCAGACUCCUACGGGAGGCAGCAGCUAAGAAUAUUCCGCAAUGGACGGAAGUCUGACGGAGCGACGCCGCGUGGAUGAAGAAGGCCGAAAGGUUGUAAAGUUCUUUUGCUAGGGGAGAAUAAGUGUGGGAGGGAAUGCCUGCACGAUGACAAGGACUAGCGAAUAAGUCCCGGCCAACUAUGUGCCAGC
This 497-nucleotide ribosomal RNA is filed under the name uncultured bacterium. Its description in RNAcentral is "bacterial SSU rRNA". It matches the Rfam family "Bacterial small subunit ribosomal RNA", at positions 32 to 512 of the family's 1533-position model. The record is from RNAcentral.